GUGAAGAACGUAGCGAAAUGCGAUAAGUAAUGUGAAUUGCAGAAUUCAGUGAACCAUCGAAUCUUUGAACGCACAUUGCGCCCGGCAGUAAUCUGCCGGGCAUGCCUGUCCGAGCGUCAUUUCUGCCCUCGAGCGAGUCCAGCAUCUAGGUGCUGGGCCCGCCCGGCGUUGGGGCACUACGGGAAGCCCUGUGCUGUCCCCCGUAGGCCCCGAAAUGAAGUGGCGGUCCUGCCGCGGCGCCCCCUGCGUAGUAUAACAGCUCGCUUCGGGACCCGGUGGAGGCCUGCCGUCAAACCUUACUCUCUAAGUUUGACCUCGGAUCAGGUAGGGUUACCCGCUGAACUUAAGCAUAUCAAUAAGCGGAGGA
Molecule: unclassified non-coding RNA, 367 nt
Filed under: soil metagenome
Description: partial contains 5.8S ribosomal RNA, internal transcribed spacer 2, and large subunit ribosomal RNA
Rfam family: 5.8S ribosomal RNA (bases 2-119)
Source: RNAcentral